This 429-nucleotide unclassified non-coding RNA is filed under the name Hevea brasiliensis (rubber tree). The record is from RNAcentral. Lineage: Eukaryota; Viridiplantae; Streptophyta; Magnoliopsida; Malpighiales; Euphorbiaceae.
UAGCUCGGCCUGUAGCGUGAAGCUGCAAAAUGCAAAUAAAUGCAUAAGCAAGUGCGUGUCCGUGUGUGUAUAUGUUUGAAUAAUCAGUUACCAAUUUUCAAACUUGGCACAAAUGAACUACGUCAACAACUUGGAAAAAAAAUCCCAGUUUCAUAUUCAUUUAGAGGUGAAAGGCACAUUCUAGCAAGGUAAGCUCAAACUCAAAAUCCAAAGUUCCAAACAACACUGCCCACUAGCAAAUAUGAAUAAUUUUGAGGAUAUACUCGAUAGCAAUAGAUACAAUAAGACAUAUUCUCAUUUGAUUGCUCAAAAUUCAUAAAAACAAUAGCACGAGACUCUUAUAAACAAAAACAUGCGUGGAUCUACAUAUAUAAAUAAAUGAGAGAAUGGGAUAUGAGUAGUCACAGGAGCAGAGGAAAUCAAACCCAA